UGCAAGUCGAACGAGCUUCCGUUGAAUGACGUGCUUGCACUGAUUUCAACAAUGAAGCGAGUGGCGAACUGGUGAGUAACACGUGGGGAAUCUGCCCAGAAGCAGGGGAUAACACUUGGAAACAGGUGCUAAUACCGUAUAACAACAAAAUCCGCAUGGAUUUUGUUUGAAAGGUGGCUUCGGCUAUCACUUCUGGAUGAUCCCGCGGCGUAUUAGUUAGUUGGUGAGGUAAAGGCCCACCAAGACGAUGAUACGUAGCCGACCUGAGAGGGUAAUCGGCCACAUUGGGACUGAGACACGGCCCAAACUCCUACGGGAGGCAGCAGUAGGGAAUCUUCCACAAUGGACGAAAGUCUGAUGGAGCAAUGCCGCGUGAGUGAAGAAGGGUUUCGGCUCGUAAAACUCUGUUGUUAAAGAAGAACACCUUUGAGAGUAACUGUUCAAGGGUUGACGGUAUUUAACCAGAAAGCCACGGCUAACUACGUGCCAGCAGCC
RNAcentral lists this ribosomal RNA (495 nucleotides) under Levilactobacillus brevis. RNAcentral describes it as "bacterial SSU rRNA". It matches the Rfam family "Bacterial small subunit ribosomal RNA", at positions 56 to 516 of the family's 1533-position model. The record is from RNAcentral. Lineage: Bacteria; Bacillati; Bacillota; Bacilli; Lactobacillales; Lactobacillaceae.